UGGCCUCACAUGUUCGUAUAGAAAUUCUUCCAAUUUGUGUGCCAUAGAAAUUUGGAAUUCGGGAAAUCAUGCAGUGUGAAAAGCAGACUAGAGGUGCCGUACCACCACACAGCCAGGUUGUAAAACAGGAUGUAGAAGAACGAAUAGGAUAUAGAGUAUGAUCCAUUUUUAUAUGUAUAUUAUUCAGGGGAAGGAUCCCUAUGCCACUGGUGUCAGGAGAGGAAACUGAGAUGGGAGAGUCUCUCCACGAAACAGGAAGAAAGAGAAAUGCAAUCUACUACCACUACAUAAAAUGGUUUGUUUUUAAAUAUU
Non-coding RNA from Callithrix jacchus (white-tufted-ear marmoset), 312 nucleotides. The record is from RefSeq and is a predicted model, not a curated record. NCBI's taxonomy places the organism in Eukaryota, Metazoa, Chordata, Mammalia, Primates, Cebidae.